CCCUUAGAUGUUCGGGGCCGCACGCGCGCUACACUGAAGGACUCAGCGUGUCUCUCCCCCUAUCCCGAAAGGGAUGGGCAACCCGUUGAACCUCCUUCGUGCUAGGGAUUGGGGUUUGCAAUUAUCCCCCAUGAACGAGGAAUUCCCAGUAAGCGCGAGUCAUCAGCUCGCGUUGAUUACGUCCCUGCCCUUUGUACACACCGCCCGUCGCUACUACCGAUUGGAUGGUUUAGUGAGACCCUCGGAUCGGUCCCGACUCGGGGUGGGCUUCUGCCCCGGUCGUGGUUUCGCCGAGAAGACGGUCAAACUUGACUAUCUAGAGGAAGUAAAAAUCGUAACA
Molecule: ribosomal RNA, 340 nt
Filed under: uncultured eukaryote
Lineage: Eukaryota
Description: partial 18S ribosomal RNA
Rfam family: Eukaryotic small subunit ribosomal RNA
Source: RNAcentral